Molecule: long non-coding RNA, 447 nt
Organism: Anguilla rostrata (American eel)
Lineage: Eukaryota; Metazoa; Chordata; Actinopteri; Anguilliformes; Anguillidae
Exons: 2
Source: RefSeq, a predicted model, not a curated record
AUAUACAGGGACUCAGACCCUACUACUACCCACCAACCAGUGCCCACUCACCGACCCGUAUCUCCAUCCCAACACGUCCAACGACCCUGGCGCCUGGGAAAGUUGAAACAGAAGGGAGAAGCAAGGCAUAGAGAGCGACCGGGAGAUGGAGAGAGGACAAGAGACCCAAAAAGAGAGAGUCGCCCUACACCCUCGACAACGCAUCAGCUAGAAUGUUAUUGGUCAAAGGGGCGACGACAGACGAGAAGUUUUUACAGAAAUUCCUGUAAUAUCCAGCCAUACCUAAGAAUCGCCGUACCUCUCGGCGGGUGGUUGGUACAGGAAACUGACAAAUAGCCUCAACCUUUGCUCCUACGGGACGCACUUGCCCCCUGCUAAUGACCUUACCCAAGUAGGGUACAGUAGCUCUACCAAACUCACACUUGGCAAGGUUAAUGGUAAGGUUAU